UCAACAACCCAAACUUUAACCGCUUGUAUGGGAUAAGACAAAAAGAAAUCUUUGACAUUAUUUGUUUUCUUAGAAGACUUUAUUCUUUUAAGAGAUAUCUCAUUGAAGAAUGGUUUUUAUCCAAUCCGUAGGAAUCAAUAAAAAAAAAAAUUUAAAUCCCCUACAAUACACCAAAUCACGCUCAGUUAUUGAUAGUGUGAACAAAUCUGCUAUUUUUAAUUUUUUUUAUUUAAAAUCACAAUAUAAUGUGUAUUUCCUCUUCCAAUUAUGGAAUAGAUAAAAGAUAUCAAAAUAUAAAUUUUUAUUCAAGAAAUUUUAUUGGAACUGUCCAUAUCUUUUGAACCAUUACGCAUCUAAAAUCUGGUGAAAUAGAUGAAACUCAAAAAAAAAAAAUUAAAAAAAAAAACAAAACAUAAAAAGAGAGACCCGAGGCUAUAAUUAAAAUUGGCCAAGCUAAAUCUUAACAAAAUAUAAAUUUGAUUUGAUUUAAUUUAGACUAAUGUGAGCUCGAAUAAUAAAACUCAACUUGCUUGUUUAAAAAUAAUUAAACUCAAGCUUAGUUUGAGCUCGGUUUAAAAAUAAUUUAUAUAUUAUAUUAUAUGAGCUUAAUUUAAAUUCAGAUCAUUAAAUAAUAAAUAAUAAUGUGGGGUAAAGUUUGAUCCUCCCCUAUCUCUUUCAUCUCACACUCCAUUACCUCUUUUUCCUAGCAGAUUAGUAAAGCCAAAAGAAGAUGAGCAAGAAAAGGAGAUCUUGGGUACAUUUAGAAAGGUGGAGAUAAAUAUCUCAUUAUUGGAUGCUAUUAAGCAAAUUCCUAAAUAUGCAAAGUUCUUAAAGGAAUUGUGCACCAACAAAAGAAGGACGAAAGAAAAAGAAAAAGUGGUGGUAAGUAAGAAUGUGUCGGCUAUCUUGCAAAAGAAUAUCCCAGAAAAAUGCAAAGAUCCAGGCACCAAAACUGAAAUUAAAAGCUUUACCGGAUCACCUAAAAUACGUGUAUUUAGGUGGUGAUGAAACAUUGCCUGUCAUCAUCUCAAAAGGACUAACAAUAAAAUAAGAAGGAAGAUUGGUUAAAGCCUUGAGGGAAUACAAGGUUGCAAUUGGUUGGACUUUGGCUGACAUAAAAGGCAUUAGUCCAUCAAUUUGCAUGCACAGGAUUUUGCUAGAGGAUGAGCCAUGAAAGAAGUUGUCAUGAAAGAGAUACUUAAGCUGUUGGAUGCAGGUAUAAUCUACCCAAUCUCAGACAACAAAUGGGUAAGUCCAAUUCAUGUAGUCCCCAAGAAAACUGGAAUGACUGUGGUAAGGAAUUUGAACAAUGAACUUAUACCAAUGCGUGUGCAAAAUGGUUGGAGAAUGUGUAUAGAUUUUAGGAAGCUUAAUCAAGUGACUAGAAAAUAUCAUUUUCCUUUACCUUUCAUUGACCAAAUGUUAGAACGAUUGGCAGGCGAAUCUUUCUUCUUGUUUUUUAUGGCUUUUCAGGAUUUUAUCAAGUUCCUAUUGCAUAAGAAGAUUAGGAAAAAACAACAUUCACUUGUCCUUUCAGAACCUAUACUUAUAGGCGAAUGCCUUUUGGCCUCUGUAAUGCCCCAAGUACGUUUCAAAGAUGCAUGAUGAGUAUUUUGUCUGAAUAUAUUAAGAAAUGCAUUGAAGUAUUUAUGGAUGACUUUACUGUAUAUGGGGAUUCAUUUGAUGAACGCAUAGAUAAUUUAACCAAAUUUUUAAAAGAUGCAUAGAGACUAACUUGGUUUUAAAUUAUGAAAAGUGUCAUUUUAUGGUCAUCCAAGGCAUUGUAUUAGGGCAUAUGAUCUCCUCCAAGGGUAUAGAGGUUGAUAAGCCAAAAGUGAACAUAAUUGCAAACUUACCAUACCCUACCAAUGUUAGGGAAGUGCGCUCUUUUCUUGGACAUGCAGGAUUUUAUCGCUGGUUUAUCAAGGAUUUCUCCAAGAUUGCUUUGCCAUUGGCAAAUUUACUGCAAAAAGAAGUUCAAUUUCGAGUUUGGGGAAGAAUGCAGAGAGGCGUUUGAAAAGCUCAAAGAUUUGUUGACAAGCACACCUAUUAUUCAACCACCUCAAUGGGAUUUACCUUUUGAAAUCAUGUGCGAUGCAAGCAAUUAUGCAGUGGGAGCAGUUCUGGGGUAACGGAUUGAGAAGAAAAGUCAUGUCAUCUAUUAUGCUUCUAGGAUCCUAAAUUCCACCCAAUGCAAAUACUCCACCACAGAAAAGGAGCUUUUAUCAAUUGUCUUUGCUCUGGAUAAAUUUCAAUCUUAUAUGCUUAGUUCUAAAGUUAUUGGGUAUUCUGAUCAUAGAGCUUUGAAGUAUCUUUUAGCAAAGAAAGAUAUUUGAUUGGUUGGGGUUUACUCACUAAGGAGUCCUUGUCUACUUAUAGACUUUUAUGGCUUGAGAGAUACCAUGCCAUCGUUGGCUUCAGCCUCAAAGAACUCCCUAUCUUAAGAGCAUUUACUAUUGCUUUUCAUAUUUUGUACAUGUUGAUAAGGAUGUAACUUCCUUGUUCACUUUAUUACUUUCUCAAUUUCCUGUCCAUAUUUCACUACACUUCCUGCUUUGCUCAA
This is a long non-coding RNA of Ricinus communis (castor bean), 2563 nucleotides long. RefSeq lists it as uncharacterized. The transcript is spliced from 2 exons. The record is from RefSeq and is a predicted model, not a curated record. NCBI's taxonomy places the organism in Eukaryota, Viridiplantae, Streptophyta, Magnoliopsida, Malpighiales, Euphorbiaceae.